Molecule: ribosomal RNA, 253 nt
Filed under: uncultured bacterium
Lineage: Bacteria
Description: partial 16S ribosomal RNA
Rfam family: Bacterial small subunit ribosomal RNA
Source: RNAcentral
GACGUAAGGCGCGAGCGUUGUCCGGAUUUAUUGGGCGUAAAGAGCUCGUAGGCGGCUUGUCGCGUCGUCCGUGAAAACCUGCAGCUCAACUGCAGGCUUGCGGUCGAUACGGGCAGGCUGGAGUUCGGUAGGGGAGACUGGAAUUUCUGGUGUAGCGGUGAAAUGCGCAGAUAUCAGGAGGAACACCGGUGGCGAAGGCGGGUCUCUGGGCCGAUACUGACGCUGAGGAGCGAAAGCGUGGGGAGCGAACAGG